GGAGGGUGGGCCAGCGCGCCCGGGGCUCCUGGGGGAGGGAGGCGGCCCUCCGUCACCGGGGGUCCCUGACCCCUCCGAGGGGAGCUGCUCAGAGAGCACCGACUCUUUGCCGGCCAGAAGUGAAUCAAGCUUUCUCCCCCCAGGGGAGCCAAAUCUCCCUCCAGCCUGGCUCCGGUGGCCCACCCGCCCCCUGCCCCCCAGUGCACACCCUUCUCUGUUCGGGGAUCCCGUCCUGGGAGCCCCCCAGCCCCCAGCCCCUCAGUCCCUCAUUCGCUCACUCAACAGCUAUUGAACACGACGUCCAGUGCGUCAGGGGAUUGAAUGUGGGACAAGACAAGGCCCUGACUGCCCUUCUCUCCUGAGGUUGACCGGGAGUGACAAUGAACUAGUAAAUCCAUAAAUACAAUAAUUACAGAUUGCUAUCAGGACCCCAAAGAUGCAUCUUCAAGUCACAUUUCCAGUACGCCCCCACAUCCACGAUCCUGCCCCACCCUCGGGCCCCCUGAAGCAUGGAAACACCUGCAGCCAGCCCCCAGGGACAGGAUGAAAUUGCUGACUUCCAGACUGCACGCUGGGCUCCUUCUGAAUCAGAAGCCCUGGGGAUCUUCCGGGAAGCUGCAUACUCAACAUCACUCCAGGUGACUCUCAGACCACUGCAGUGCUGCCUUCGGGGAAGACAAGCCUGGAUCCUCCCCUCUUCCUGGGAUGGGGAAUUUCCUUCUUGAACCUUGACUAAGCCCAUCUGGGAAGUCAGCUGGGAGGGAAAGCCUGGGUUCACUGCCCGCACCCCGCCAGGCAAGCGACAAGCGCAGGCAAGUGCAGCCCUUCCCUCUCCUCCUGGGCUCCAGCCCCUGGGCCCUGGGCCUGAGACCAGGGGGGCCCCAUGCGGGAGGAGUAUGGUACUCCUUCUCCCCCCAGCCCCUGGUGUUGAGCCCUCACAGCUGCGCUGUGCUGGGAACAGGCCAGGCAUUUGUGAAAUCCUCGGGUGAGCCUGACCCACUGUCACGAGGACUGCCUGUGGAAGCUGGUGCAGGGAGGGGGAUGGGGGCUGUUCCCAGAAGCGGGGAGAACUCUGGACUUCCCACUCCUGAGUGCUCUGCAUUGCAGCGCGGCCUUAAGCAACAGCAGUGGUCUGGAAGGCUGCACCGCAGAGAACCAGAGGCCCCAGGCUCUCUUCUGAAAAGAAACUAGGGCUCUGAAUGCUGAAACUUCCACGCACUCCUCCUUACCCGUCGCUGCUGCCACUCGCAGUGAAGACCGGGCCCAGCCUUAGAGAAAGGCGGACUCAAGGCUAGACUUACAAAAAGAAGAAGAAGGGGAAGAAGAUAACCAGAAUGCUAGUUUGUUAUGUACAUUAUACAAGAAAAUGUAUUUCCUUUUUUUUUUUUAAAUGAUUUUAUUUAUUCAUUUGAGACAGCGGGAGCACGAGCUAGUGCAGGGGAGCAGAGGGAGAGGGAGAAGGGGAGCCCAACACAGGGCUCCAUCCCAGGACCCCAUGAUCAGGACCAGUGCUUAACCCACUGAGCCACCCAGGUGCCCAAGAAAAUGUUUUUCCUUUCACUCCCUGCUCCCCAAAUCUCCACUCUUCCUUUGGAACAGAAAACCUUACGUAAUACCUAUAUCAUACAGCAUGUUAAAGACACGAAAUACAAAACCUGGUGAUUCAGGAGGCCGCCGUACUGCCCAACCGCGGGGAUGCUGUUCACAAUACACUCUUUGUGGUUGGGGUCCCAGAAAGUCAUGUGGUGGGGGGCUGCUGGGUUUGGGAAUUUUAGGGUACAUUAGCAGCGCCAGACCCUUGCCUUAACGACACUCCAGGGCAAACCCAAGGCUGGUAGGAACUGUGUUCUGGGUGCUGUGGCCAGGGCUGGAGAUCCAUGCCAACCAAGAAGCAUUUAGCCUUCGGGAUGCUUACAGUCUGAAAGGGGAACCAGACGUGAAAAGCAAGAAGUAUCCUAAAAAGGAGUGGGUGUAAAAAUAAAAUGUUAUACAGCCUACAGCGGGGGGGGGGGCCCAGGAGGAAAUGACCAACAUUGGUUUCCCAGAAGAGGGGCCACUGGUGAGACAAGGCAAAAACAGCAGUUGUCCCCUCCCGCAGGCAGGCGGUGUGGGACACAGGGCAUCCUAAUGAUCCGAAACAGGGAAAUGGCCCGGAAAAGGGAAAAAACCUUAGGGAACUUGAAGAAGUUUGGUAUGUCCCCAUCGGGCACAUCCACGCCAGACUCAUCGUCUAAAAAUACUGCUUUUGUGACAUCACAUGCAAGACCCACUCCCGUAGGGGCCACACUGGUUCCUUGGACGUUUUCUUCUCAGCUGGAUUCCAGUGCUUGUCAUGCUGUCACCUGAGUGGAAACCCGGCCUCACCAGCUCCCCACCCCACGCACCCCACGCUGGCAGAUACCCUUCCUUCCACCAGGGUGCCCUCCUCAUCUGCCCACCACAGGCAUUCCCCACCCCUGUGCUCCCUUGUGAGCCCAUGUCCUGGCCUGUUGGGGUUAUCCCACCCAAAGGCUCGGCCUGCCCGCCCCCUCCCCCUCCCUCUCUCUGAGUUCUGUCCCUCCUUUCAGGCUGCCUCCUUUCCCGCCUCCUCCCUGAAGCUCUCCUUGGACUCAGAGAGUUUUGAGACCUCUCUUCCCUUGUAAGGCGUCUGCGGGGCCAUUGCUACUUGUUUACCACCUGGUCACAUGGUGUUAUGGUUCCUGGACUUCUUCCCACCUGGACUGUGGACACUUAGAAGGAAGAAACUCACUCUGGGGAUGCCUGGGGGGGGGGGGGGCUCAGUCAGUUGGGCAUCUGGUUUCGCCUCAGGUCGUGAUCCUGGGGUCCUGGGAUGGAAUUCUGCGUCAGGUUCCCUGCUCAACGGGCAGCCUGCUUCUUCUCCUGCCUGCCUCUCUCUCUGUCAAAUAAAUAAAUGAAAUCUUAAAAAAAAAAAAAAGAAAGAAAGAAAGAACAAAACUCACUCUUGCCCAUUCCCUCAAUGAUUAUUUACUGAAUGCCUACUCUGUACCAGGCUCUGUAUCUGCUCUUUUAUGUUCUUCACAAAACCCACCAGAUUAGGAGGCGCUAGUGGAAGCCCACGAGGCACUUGACCUGAAGCUGUACAAAACGAGAUUGUCUUUAAAUGAUGGGGUUUCGGAAGUCGUUAGAGUAUUAAAUCAUCUACGGUUUUUUA
Molecule: long non-coding RNA, 3172 nt
Organism: Mustela lutreola (European mink)
Lineage: Eukaryota; Metazoa; Chordata; Mammalia; Carnivora; Mustelidae
Exons: 2
Source: RefSeq, a predicted model, not a curated record